This 324-nucleotide ribosomal RNA is filed under the name uncultured eukaryote. Its description in RNAcentral is "partial 18S ribosomal RNA". It matches the Rfam family "Eukaryotic small subunit ribosomal RNA", at positions 1470 to 1796 of the family's 1831-position model. The record is from RNAcentral.
CCCUUAGAUGUCCUGGGCUGCACGCGCGCUACACUGAUGUGUCCAGUAAGCACCUAACCUCUUCCGAAAGGAACGGGUAACCUUUGCAAAGCACAUCGUGAUGGGGAUAGAUUAUUGCAAUUAUUAGUCUUGAACGAGGAAUUCCUAGUAAGCACAAGUCAUCAGCUUGUGUUGAUUACGUCCCUGCCCUUUGUACACACCGCCCGUCGCUCCUACCGAUUGAAUGUUCCGGCGAGCUCUUCGGACUGCGCGGUCUGCAGUUUCUGCGUUCCGUGCGGAAAGUUGCGCAAACCUUAACAUUUAGAGGAAGGAGAAGUCGUAACA